CACGUAGGGGGCGAGCGUUGUCCGGAUUUAUUGGGCGUAAAGGGCUCGUAGGCGGCUCAGUAAGUCGGGUGUGAAACCUCCAGGCUCAACCUGGAGACGCCACCUGAUACUGCUGUGGCUAGAGUCCGGUAGGGGAGCAUGGAAUUCCUGGUGUAGCGGUGAAAUGCGCAGAUAUCAGGAGGAACACCGAUGGCGAAGGCAGGUCUCUGGGCCAUAACUGACGCUGAGAAGCGAAAGCAUGGGGAGCGAACAGG
Molecule: ribosomal RNA, 254 nt
Filed under: uncultured bacterium
Lineage: Bacteria
Description: partial 16S ribosomal RNA
Rfam family: Bacterial small subunit ribosomal RNA
Source: RNAcentral